CUGGCCCGGUGGCGUUUGCAAUUUAUUGUGACGUUCAUUGUGUGCUAGAUUCUUUGACCUUCCAUCCUUUCCAGGGAGCCUUGUGUGCUGUUCAUUCAGUGCGCAUGUUUUGCGAUCUGGAUCAUUUACUUUGAAAAAAUUAGAGUGUUUAAAGCAGGCUUACGCCGUGAAUACAUUAGCAUGGAAUAAUAAUAUAGGACUUUGGUUCUAUUUUGUUGGUUUCUAGGACUAAAGUAAUGAUUGAAAGGGAUAGUUGGGGGUGCUAGUAUUCAGUGGCCAGAGGUGAAAUUCUUGGAUUCACUGAAGACUAACUACUGCGAAAGCAUU
This 327-nucleotide ribosomal RNA is filed under the name uncultured Euglyphida. Its description in RNAcentral is "SSU rRNA". It matches the Rfam family "Eukaryotic small subunit ribosomal RNA", at positions 651 to 955 of the family's 1831-position model. Lineage: Eukaryota; Cercozoa; Imbricatea; Euglyphida. The record is from RNAcentral.